GACGAACGCUGGCGGCGUGCUUAACACAUGCCAGUCGAACGGAAAGGCCCUGCUUUUGUGGGGUGCUCGAGUGGCGAACGGGUGAGUAACACGUGAGUAACCUGCCCUUGACUUUGGGAUAACUUCAGGAAACUGGGGCGAAUACCGGAUAGGAGCUCCUGCUGCAUGGUGGGGGUUGGAAAGUUUCGGCGGUUGGGGAUGGACUCGCGGCUUAUCAGCUUGUUGGUGGGGUAGUGGCUUACCAAGGCUUUGAGGGGUAGCCGGCCUGAGAGGGUGACCGGCCACAUUGGGACUGAGGUACGGCCCAGACUCCUACGGGAGGCAGCAGUGGGGAAUCUUGCACAAUGGGCGGAAGCCUGAUGCAGCAACGCCGCGUGCGGGAUGACGGCCUUCUGGUUGUAAACCGCUUUCGCCUGUGACGAAGCGUGAGUGACGGUAAUGGGUAAAGAAGCACCGGCUAACUACGUG
This 468-nucleotide ribosomal RNA is filed under the name uncultured bacterium. RNAcentral describes it as "partial 16S ribosomal RNA". It matches the Rfam family "Bacterial small subunit ribosomal RNA", at positions 28 to 507 of the family's 1533-position model. The record is from RNAcentral.